GACGAACGCUGGCGGCGUGCCUAAUACAUGCAAGUCGAGCGCAGGAAGCUGACGGAACUCUUCGGAGGGAAGGCAGUGGAAUGAGCGGCGGACGGGUGAGUAACACGUAAGGAACCUGCCUCAAGGAUUGGGAUAACUCCGAGAAAUCGGAGCUAAUACCGGAUAGUUCAACGGACCGCAUGGUCCGCUGAUGAAAGGCGCUCCGGCGUCACCUUGAGAUGGCCUUGCGGUGCAUUAGCUAGUUGGUGGGGUAACGGCCCACCAAGGCGACGAUGCAUAGCCGACCUGAGAGGGGGAUCGGCCACACUGGGACUGAGACACGGCCCAGACUCCUACGGGAGGCAGCAGUAGGGAAUCUUCCACAAUGGACGAAAGUCUGAUGGAGCAACGCCGCGUGAGUGGUGAAGGUUUUCGGAUCGUAAAACUCUGUUGUAAGGGAAGAACACGUACGAGAGGGAAUGCUCGUACCUUGACGGUACCUUACGAGAAAGCCACGGCUAACUACGUGCCAGCCGCCGCGGUAA
Molecule: ribosomal RNA, 524 nt
Filed under: uncultured bacterium
Lineage: Bacteria
Description: partial 16S ribosomal RNA
Rfam family: Bacterial small subunit ribosomal RNA
Source: RNAcentral